RNAcentral lists this ribosomal RNA (484 nucleotides) under uncultured bacterium. Its description in RNAcentral is "partial 16S ribosomal RNA". It matches the Rfam family "Bacterial small subunit ribosomal RNA", at positions 30 to 507 of the family's 1533-position model. The record is from RNAcentral.
AUUGAACGCUGGCGGCAGGCCUAACACAUGCAAGUCGAGCGGAUGAAGGGAGCUUGCUCCUGGAUUCAGCGGCGGACGGGUGAGUAAUGCCUAGGAAUCUGCCUGGUAGUGGGGGAUAACGUCCGGAAACGGGCGCUAAUACCGCAUACGUCCUGAGGGAGAAAGUGGGGGAUCUUCGGACCUCACGCUAUCAGAUGAGCCUAGGUCGGAUUAGCUAGUUGGUGGGGUAAAGGCCUACCAAGGCGACGAUCCGUAACUGGUCUGAGAGGAUGAUCAGUCACACUGGAACUGAGACACGGUCCAGACUCCUACGGGAGGCAGCAGUGGGGAAUAUUGGACAAUGGGCGAAAGCCUGAUCCAGCCAUGCCGCGUGUAUGAAGAAGGUCUUCGGAUUGUAAAGCACUUUAAGUUGGGAGGAAGGGCAGUAAGUUAAUACCCUGCUGUUUUGACGUUACCAACAGAAUAAGCACCGGCUAACUUCGUG